This 467-nucleotide ribosomal RNA is filed under the name uncultured bacterium. Its description in RNAcentral is "partial 16S ribosomal RNA". It matches the Rfam family "Bacterial small subunit ribosomal RNA", at positions 28 to 506 of the family's 1533-position model. The record is from RNAcentral.
GACGAACGCUGGCGGCGUGCUUAACACAUGCAAGUCGAACGGAAAGGCCCUGCUUUUGUGGGGUGCUCGAGUGGCGAACGGGUGAGUAACACGUGAGUAACCUGCCCUUGACUUUGGGAUAACUUCAGGAAACUGGGGCUAAUACCGGAUAGGAGCUCCUGCUGCAUGGUGGGGGGUGGAAAGUUUCGGCGGCUGGGGAUGGACUCGCGGCUUAUCAGCUUGUUGGUGGGGUAGUGGCUUACCCAGGCUUUGACGGGUAGCCGGCCUGAGAGGGUGACCGGCCACAUGGGGACUGGGAUACGGCCCAGACUCCUACGGGAGGCAGCAGUGGGGAAUAUUGCACAAUGGGCGGAAGCCGGAUGCAGCAACGCCGCGUGCGGGAUGACGGCCUUCGGGUUGUAAACCGCUUUCGCCUGUGACGAAGCGUGAGGGACGGUAAUGGGUAAAGAAGCACCGGCUAACUACGG